GAUCAUGGCUCAGGAUGAACGCUAGCUACAGGCUUAACACAUGCAAGUCGAGGGGCAGCAUGGACCCAGCUUUGCUGGGUUUGAUGGCGACCGGCGCACGGGUGGGUAACGCGUAUCCAACCUGCCCUUUACUCCGGGAUAGUCUCCUGAAAGGGAGUUUAAUACCGGAUGUGUUUGUCUUUCCGCAUGGGAGCGACAAAUAAAGAUUAAUUGGUAAAGGAUGGGGAUGCGUCCCAUUAGCUUGUUGGCGGGG
Molecule: ribosomal RNA, 253 nt
Filed under: uncultured bacterium
Lineage: Bacteria
Description: partial 16S ribosomal RNA
Rfam family: Bacterial small subunit ribosomal RNA
Source: RNAcentral